GGGAGAGAUAAGAGGAAAGGAAGGGAAAAAAAGAGGGAAGAAGGAAAAAAGUUAAUAAUCGUCUGGAGAAGAAGUUGGCGUAGGUAGUUUGAGAAGGAGAGAUGUCAAUGACAGAUGAUGCAGACAGGCAAUAUAGGAAGGAUGCUUUCACUCCCUUUAUUACAAGAAUGGAUGGACGUCGCCGUGCUCCCAGGACAAACGACCGACACCAAGAGCCAUAACUGAUAGAAAUAACACUCACAAAGCUCUCGGUGAUAACAAAUUUGGCACGACCCUCCUGGAUGAAGAUAAACGCAAAAAGAGAAACGCCAAAUCUCGUAUUCAACCGUGAAAACAAAUUCAGGGAUCAUAAACAUGACCCGGCCAGCGCGUGGAAAAUAGAACGCUUGUGCCUGACACAACACAUCACCCAGACCUAUGAUGUAACGAUUUCUUUGCAAAAGUACUGAAAAUCGGCAAUUACACAAACAACUGCGUUUAUCUCAACAAAACACAAAUAGGAGAGAGGCUUUUAGCCAGUAUUAUUCAGCAGUCUGACGGGAGGGGGGUAGGCAAGCUGAGAAACUACGAGAGUGGAUAGUAUUGCAUUCUGAUUCAUUAAAUAGUCAUCCCUCAGUUGCAUACCGUCAUACAACCAUUAUAAACACGUCUUUAGGCAUUGGUGUUUCCCCAUUGUCUUGGAAACUUGGAAACAAUUUAGAGACGAAAUUAGCUAUUAUCAGCCCCAGCAUCAUGCGCCCUAUCUUGUCUAAACUUGACGAAACGAGAGUAGCAAGUCAAUUAGUAACAGUUCUUGAAGCCGAGAGCCUCCACAGAUACAACAUAAUUAGAAACUGCAAACGAAAUUUAUGAUGCCAAAACCAAGAACCAAAUAACCUGGCUCAUGUUUAUGUAGUCUAUCCAGUAACCUUUUACGGUCCAAUUCCUGUACAUCGUGACACACUAAGAAAUCGUUGACCUGAUGCUCACUGGGUCGGAAAUCGCUCAUCUUCAAGAACUCAGUCGGUCAGAAUUGGCGAAAAUGUUUCACCAGUCUCCAUAUUGGAUCUGUAUUGGGCCCGAUCCUAUUCACAGCUUUCGUUAAUGAUUUAUCGAUUCUGGCCAUGAAUUGCCUUCUUGUUCAAUACGGCGAUGACACAGUUUCUUCACACACUGUAAACAACUUGAAUAAAUUAAUAAGAGAUACACAGCAGAC
Molecule: long non-coding RNA, 1195 nt
Organism: Penaeus chinensis
Lineage: Eukaryota; Metazoa; Arthropoda; Malacostraca; Decapoda; Penaeidae
Exons: 2
Source: RefSeq, a predicted model, not a curated record